RNAcentral lists this ribosomal RNA (110 nucleotides) under Capra hircus (goat). Lineage: Eukaryota; Metazoa; Chordata; Mammalia; Artiodactyla; Bovidae. The record is from RNAcentral.
GUCUACGGCCAUACCACCCUGAACGCGCCCGAUCGCGUCUGAUCUCGGAAGUUAAGCAGGGUCAGGCCUGGUUAGUACUUGGAUGGGAGAAUGAGAGGACAUCUUAAAUU